UCCACCAAACAAUACGGCACAGGAACUUAAAGAGAGCAGCUUUAACAUCAAGGAUAAAUGGAGAGAGGACUGGAUUGCCAACUUGCCCAGGGCAUCCCAUGCUAGUUACGACCCCACCCACAAACCGCCAGGUUUUUCGGCCCCGAGACGGGAAUGGAGCCAACUAAAUAAACUCCGCACUAAAAUCGGGCGAUCCGGAGAAUUUAUGUUUAAGUGCGGGUGGCGAUAUACACCGAAGUGCUACUGUGGAGCACCUGUACAUUCCAUUUCCCACAUUGUUCACGAGUGUCCAAAAAGAAAGUACCCAGGAGAUCCUCUGGACUUACUUAAAUAAGCUAAGCGAAAACGCAGCCCAUUGGGUGAAGAACCUAGAUAUUAAUUUGUAAAUUUGUAAAGCGACCAUGAAUUGUAUUAAUGCCAUACGACUAAAUAAAUAAAUAAAU
Cydia fagiglandana is the source of this 443-nucleotide long non-coding RNA. RefSeq lists it as uncharacterized. The record is from RefSeq and is a predicted model, not a curated record. The transcript has 2 exons. NCBI's taxonomy places the organism in Eukaryota, Metazoa, Arthropoda, Insecta, Lepidoptera, Tortricidae.